UUACAUUUUUCUCCGUCUGAGCAGGGAAGUGUUGAGGUGGUGUAACCAGAGUGUGAAGUACAGAAGUUUGUCUGGUCGCUGCAACAAUCUUUGGUACCCAGAGUAUGGUACCAGUGGUCAAGUUCUUACUAGACUACUGAAUCCUGUCUAUGAUGGAGAGAUGAUGAGGACGAGGUCAGUACACGGUGACCUGCUGCCCAACCCUCGGGUCAUCAGUCUCCUGGCAAGUCUCGUGCCUUCUGCUGCUCACACUCGACACAAUCUCCUGUUUAUGCAGAUGGGUCAGUUUAUUGACCAUGACUACUCUAUCACCACUGUCAGCAAAGAUGACAACGGAAAGACAAUGAAUUGUUUGAGGUGUACGUCGUGGACUGACCCGCGAUGCGCUCCUGUCCUUGCCUCACAAUGACCCUUAUUACCUUCUCGCUUUA
This is a non-coding RNA of Cherax quadricarinatus, 431 nucleotides long. Lineage: Eukaryota; Metazoa; Arthropoda; Malacostraca; Decapoda; Parastacidae. The record is from RefSeq and is a predicted model, not a curated record.